CAAUAAAUACGUGCGAUACUGUAUCUAGCUUGUUUUAAUAAGAUGGAGAAGUACCUUCUGCUAGGGAACUGGGGGUUCCCAUUUUCCUGGGAUAUUUUUUUUUAAAUAGCGAUUUCUGUCUCUGUCACCUGACAUGUAACUUGAUAUCUUUGACAGUCAUAACAGAAAUAAUCAGUCUAACAAUGAAAGGGAUCAUCCACCAUGACUAGAGCAUUUUGAUCAUGCCACCGUAGCAAAGGUUCAUCUUAGUUAUUGUUACUGUUGCCCUUUACAUUUAUUGCCAACAGCAUGUUCUUCAACUUUAACCUUAAUAUACAAGGUGGUGUGUGUGUGCAUGUGUGAACAGUGUUUUGGGGGUUCCUGUGGCAGGCUGGUCUCUCUAAUUAAACCAUUUUUCUGCAGAGCUUGGAUCCACAACCUCGUGGAGCUUCCACGGCUGAGAAUGCUGAGGCUCUUUGGGGUUCAAUGUGAAGCACCGUAUCAUAUGUCGGCUGGGUCAACAGUCCACAUGGGUUUUCGAUCCGGACCUUCAACUGUGAAGCUUGAUGGAGUGAGCCUCACAGGGGAACACAGAUGCUCUGGAUCAAUGGACCUGGAACCAGGUAAAACCUAAGCGAUGAAGCUCUUCUGUAUCUCAGACCUGGAUGGUGUCUUGACUCUCAGAGACCGCACAAACCAGGAGAACACGAUAGGGCAGACAGCACUAAGGGGAGGGUGACGCCCCCUUAAAUAGACUCACUAUCACUCGGCGGAUUAGUUUAGGGUCAGGGGGUAUUUUCCUGCCUUUUGGGUUGCUAGAUAAGUUAAGCCUGUGCCACAACCAAUCAGGAAAAUUACACCAGAGAAAGGGUGCCAAACUAACUGGGGAAGAAGGACACAAAUAUGGAGGAAAUGCCUCCAACAAGUUAGCUAGUAACAAAUGGCAAACAGAGGAUUGUGGCUUAAGCCCUGCCCCUCAAAGGGAGCUAAGUGCUUAAGUCCAAGCUAGAGGGAGAUAAGUAUCUCCACUCGGGAUUCACAAUCAUGAACCCUCUCCUGGAGGUAGGUGCUUAAGCCAGUUCAGUCUUAAGCCAGAAGUCUUUUGGUUGUGGUGGUGGGGUCAUCUUCUUAUAACUUUUAGCCCAGUGAUUGUGGUGCUUACCCAGACAGAAUGUAGGAGGCCUAGGUUCAGUUUCUUUCUCUGCUUGAUGUGGAGCAAGAAUUUGAACUUGACUCUUGUACCUCGCAGAAGGGUGCCCUGACAAAUGGUUCAUGGGGUAUUCUGGGGCAGGGUGUUCCAAUCUCUCUUGCUGAAGCUGUUCCAAAGCAGAUAAAUAAAUAAAUAUUCAUUGGAACA
Molecule: long non-coding RNA, 1336 nt
Filed under: Chrysemys picta bellii (western painted turtle)
Lineage: Eukaryota; Metazoa; Chordata; Testudines; Emydidae
Description: lncRNA (ENSCPBG00000005692.1)
Source: RNAcentral